This 56-nucleotide transfer RNA is filed under the name Stegodyphus mimosarum. It matches the Rfam family "tRNA", at positions 9 to 63 of the family's 71-position model. From Rfam's summary of the family: Transfer RNA (tRNA) molecules are approximately 80 nucleotides in length. The record is from Rfam by way of RNAcentral. Lineage: Eukaryota; Metazoa; Arthropoda; Arachnida; Araneae; Eresidae.
AGUAUAGUGGUGAGUGUCCCCGCUUGUCACGCGGGAGACCGGGGUUCGAUUCCCCG